RNAcentral lists this small RNA (391 nucleotides) under Histoplasma ohiense. RNAcentral describes it as "hypothetical lncRNA". The record is from RNAcentral. Lineage: Eukaryota; Fungi; Ascomycota; Eurotiomycetes; Onygenales; Ajellomycetaceae.
CAAGCUGAGGCAGAUCUGUUUUUUAAUCUCUGAGUGGAAUAAGUAUAUUCAACAAUUAUCAUCAUCUUUUUCAUUUUCAUUUACUGACUGACUUCUGAUAGAUUUUAUUAAACUGUUUCAAGUACUUCUGACUGUUCAUCAAGUUUUUCUCAGAUUCUCAAGAAUUAUCUGUCUUCAACUUUUCAUUCCUCUUGUAUGUCUAUAAUUAUCAGUUCUGCUUGCAGGAUUUGUCUGUCGCACAUGUGAUAUGAUUCAAGAAGAGAAACAUGGAAUACAGAAUGAAUUUCUUUAUAUUGCAGUGUGAGUUUCAGUUUGUACAUCUGUGUACUGCAGAUAUCAAUUAUUUGAAAGAAACUCAAAAAUCAAUGAUCUAGUUUGAGUGAGAAUUGCA